RNAcentral lists this ribosomal RNA (301 nucleotides) under uncultured bacterium. RNAcentral describes it as "partial 16S ribosomal RNA". It matches the Rfam family "Bacterial small subunit ribosomal RNA", at positions 509 to 807 of the family's 1533-position model. The record is from RNAcentral.
CAGUCGCCGCGGGAAUACAGAGGGUGCAAGCGUUAAUCGGAAUUACUGGGCGUAAAGCGCGCGUAGGUGGUUUGUUAAGUUGGAUGUGGAAUCCCCGGGCUCAACCUGGGAACUGCAUCCAAAACUGGCAGGCUAGAGUAGGGCAGAGGGUGGUGGAAUUUCCUGUGUAGCGGUGAAAUGCGUAGAUAUAGGAAGGAACACCAGUGGCGAAGGCGACCACCUGGGCUCAUACUGACACUGAGGUGCGAAAGCGUGGGGAGCAAACAGGAUUAGAUACCCCGGUAGUCCCUGUCUCUUAUAC